GGGGCCGGGACAGGUGCGGCGGCGGCGGGCGGCAGCCGGACACGGCUCGCAGCAUCCCGGGCUCCGGCACUGGCUGCUUCAGACCUCCGCACCGACCCGCUGGGCAGCCCAGCCGGUCCGAGGUCCCCUAGCCCGCCCCAUGGCAAAACGGGCCGCUGCUGCCUUCCCUUCCAUGUAAAAUAGCGGGGUGCAUACCCCCCGAUAGAGCAGCCGGAGCGGCGGUGCCUCCAGGGCUGCCGACCCCGGUAGGGAACGGGAGCGGCCCCGGUGCGCCACAACCAUGGCUUUUGGCGCAUCAGGGAUUGUGUAACCACUGGCAAAAAAAAUUCUGCCAGCCGUGUUGGGCGAUGGCAGCUUGCUGAUCACUAUCCUGCUAUAGCUAGCAGCCCCGGGGGAGGGGGUUAAGAACACCCUGCUGCUGAACGAAAAUGUAAAUGUAUGCAAAUCCAUUGGAAUGCCCGGCUAUUGGAGAACAGUCUGAGAAUUGUGUCAUGAGACAGAUAAUGCUAAAUAUAACCUAGCACACGAUGGCAUCGUUUUGACAUUGUGAUUAUUUUGCAGCUGUCAAUUGCAAUGCGCAGAGCCAUUUUAUUUUUUAUGAGGGCUUUUUCAACGAGACAUUUCUCAUCUGGAAUCAAGUCACAAAAUUCCACAGGAAACUUUGUUGACAGGAGAAUUAUGUGUGUUUUUCUUGGGUCUCUUUUUGAGGUGUACAGAUGAAUCCAAGACUGUAGUAAGAAUCAGUUUAUAACAAAUGAAUGGGUAGCACGGCUGUUAGAGUUAAUAUGUAUCCAGUCAGGUAAAAAAUUGUGUAAUCCUACCUCUCUGCCCUGUCGGCCAAUUCAUGAGAUGAAGGGUAUGUAUCAAAGUGUCAGCAGUCUGAGAAUGACAGAACAUAAAUUCAAAUUAAAUAGAUUUUUUAAAAUUUCCUGUUAUUACGCUGAAGAGAGAAUUCAUUACUUCUGCUGAUCAGAAGGAAUAAGGACAGAUAAUUAUUUUACCUACCCUAGUCAGGAAAUUUUUUUUUUUUUAACAUUCCUUAGUCUAUAUAGACUGUGCCCAGUAUUUGGAAGCUGAUGGCAGACAAUGUAGUUCACAGAAAAACCUCUUAGGAAGAGCUCAGCCAUGGAGCACCACACCCUGUGUUGCUCAGUCUUAGGAUACAUCAGUAUACAUCAACAUUUGUUUUAUAACCUUUUUGAAUAAUCCUUUCUCACACAGAGUUCGGAUUCCAUAAUUCUUUUUUGGAUCAUAUUUUAGCAGCACUUUACAUCAAUUUACCUAAUGGUUUUUAUAGCACCUCCUCGCCAGAUGUCAUCUGGGAGUGUUCCUGGCUCUUCUAGAGACAGCAUGAUGAUCUAUCUCCUUGCUGGUGUUGCUGCUUUUGGUGGUUUAUUUUAUGCCUACAGAGUAGUCAGUUCAUCCCGCAGCAAGUUUGUUGAACAUUCAAGUAUUCUUCGUGAGAGAACCGAGGGGCAGAACAGCAAUCCUUGGUCAAGGAAGGACACAAGGGAAAUCUCUUUCCAAACCUGAGGAAGUUAAAUACAAACAAAGGACAAUCGUUUACCAUUAAGUACAUUGCAGCCUACCUUGGGAUGACUUUGUGCCUUCUAUUGUAAAGCCCCAAUUGUUUUCUGAGGAGGAGAAGACAACUGAAGAAGUUGCUAAAGAGCCCUAAAGUAAGCAGAGUGGACACCUUUGGAAAGUUUAAUGCAAAUAUUUGUGGCAAUCAACCAGCUGAUUCCGGUGUGAAACCUCAUACUCUUCCUUGAAGACAUAAAAGAAACUCUGCAGUUUGUCCCACCCACACAUUGGCCAUUAUGGCCAGUAUUCAGUGCUGCAAGAGAUGAUUUGCAUUGCCUAGAGAAAUGCUUCUGUGACUAACAACUCUGCUGUAGAGAGUAGCUUCCAGUCAAGCCACUCAGCAUGUCCUAAAUACAUGUGCUAAGAGAAGCAGUAGACUUAACUAAACCAUGCCAUAUGAACUCCUUCUAUGUCAUUGUUGUCCUGAUAUGUACAUUGAUUCCUUACUUUUGGUCCAAACUAUUGUGUGUAGUUAUACCUUUGUAACAUUCCAUGCUAAAAUGUAAACAAAAGGUUUUAAAAUCAAGUCAAAAUAUUACAAAACUACAUGUUAGCAUUUUAAAAUUGGAUCACAGGGAAAAUAACAACGUGUUUGCUCCUGAGUUUGGAUUUGUGAUUGUAAGCAUAAGACAUCUGGCUGUGCAUGACCUAAUUUUCCCCCUGCAUAAAUAUUUCAGAUGAUACCACUCCUUGCACAGUAACAUCUAGGAGUAAACAUUUUAAGGCUCCUGCUUCGGGAAGAAAACCUGUUUGCAGGUAGUAGCCAUAGGUACUUUAUAAGUGGUGGCUGGCUCCUGCCUUGGGUGUGCUGGGCUCUGCUCCUCCCAAAUCUCGUUCAGCUUGCUGUGGUCUUUCUGUGUUGCUCUGUCUUGGCAGUGGCAUAUACUGGUAGUGUAACAACACAAAAGUUUGGUAGAAGCUUUCAAACUGGUACAAAUUACAAGCCCUUUAGGCCAUGGCAAAGCCUGUCUCUAACCACUUGCACACAGAGAGCAAAAUCCCUGUGAAGGGCUAUUCAACAGGUGUUCAAAUGGACAGGCAUUCUUAGGGACUAAGAAAGAACCAAACAGCUAAAUGGCCUUGUUUUCUCAGUAUUAGCUUCACAAAAAUUACAUUUAUUAUGAAUAACAGGUUUGAAUGCCACUGUGCUCCCAACCUUCAUGUGCUACAUGCAUGAGCAUGCAUCUGAGACCCCAUUUCAGCCAUCACAGAAUGGCAAUGAUUCUAAACCAGAGCCAAAUAAGGUAUAUUAUGUACUAUUUAUAUAGAAAGUGUGUUGCAUAAGGUGUGUCUGACUCUUUUCUCUUCAAGAAGAAGUUUGGAAAAUGUUGAAAGGGAAACGACAGCAUUAAUGACAUUCCUACCCACAGCACAAAGCAACACAUGCUCCUUCCCCCAUCAUAAAGCAAAUUAUAAUAGUGUUCCAACAAAGAUAUAGCCUGUUGCUCCUGGAUCUACUUAGGAAUAACUGGAAUAAUGCAAAGGCAAAAGCAGGCUCCUGAGCUUCAAGAAGACAAACCACAGCCUUCUGCUUAAAGGAUAAAGCCUCUGUGAUUAAAAGCAGUUUUUGUAGACCAAGCUACUGGAAUAAAAAUCUUAGACUAAUAUUUUGUUGGAUAAGAGUCUAUAUUUAUCUUGUAGAUUAAAAAUGCUGUGAUGGAUGUAUGCACUUAAAUUUUCUAUUUCUUCAUUUUCACAAAUUACUAGUAAAAGAAGCUAUUUUAACUGCAUCUAACAGUAGUUUCUCAAAUGGUAGGCUUUUCUGAAUGGCUCUUUAUCUCUGGAACUGCUCUGGUACAUGGCAAAAUAUGUUAGCCCCCUGGAACAGCUGCCUUAAUGACUGAAUCACAAACUAUGGUUUCCAAAAUGUAGGGUUUUUUCAUCCUUUCACUUUCAAAAAAUUGUGAGAAUCCCAAAACAGCCUGUAGAUGUGCUUUAUGCCAGAGUUCUUCUUUUUUUGCUUUUGUAUUGUUUAGGUUUUCUUAAUUAAAAAAAAAAAAAAAAAAAAAAAAAAGGCAUGCAGCACAGCACAGUCUGCUUCAGCACUUAAAUAUCUUAGAGUAACAACAGUGAUAUUUUGCAAUUCGCAGAGGUCUGGCCAUUGUUGACUCAGUCUUGUUAGUAUGGAGUCUGAAUACCAUAUAAAUUAAAAUUUUCCUGUCCUUCACUUUCAAAAAGAGAAUUUUUGAGUUGCUACACAAAAGCUGUGAUGAACCAUGGAAAAUGUUGAAAGAUAAUUUUGAGAUGGAUCAUUAAGGAGAGCAAUGCCACAGCAGAGAAUAGACAUAAUGCAAGACUAAAGGAGAUCAGAGGAAAGGUUUGGUCUUGAAAAUACACCUCACAGGCCAGAGCAAAGCUUAAGAUUCCAGAAUUUAUCCAAACUGCACAUUGCUCCUUUGCUGUCAGCAGUUAUCUGUGAAAACAGCUGGCAAGGAUUUUCACCUCCCUCCAGUGCCAUUUAGUCCCUCUAGUUCACCUCUCUGAAGGGUGACAGCCUGUUGCUGCUGGCAGCUGUUCACAAAGCUGAAAAUUCUGCAGAUGAUGAAGUCCAUCUAACAAUUUCAGGUUUACUUUUUUGCCUGUGUUGAUGUAGGUACAGAAUUUCAAUUUUAUUUUCAUUUCCUUCUUCAAAACAUAAGACAAUUGCAACUAAAAAUCAUAAUUCAAACUGCAAGCUGGUACUCAGCACUUGGAAAAUCAGAGUGAAAUACUUCAAUCAAGAUUUCUUAUGUCUGUGCAACAGGCUUUGAUGUUGUGAUACUACUUUUUAAAAUCUGUUUUUCUGGGAAAGAAAAAAACCACAAAAAACUCAAAACAAAGACAAAGAAUUCCAACCCAGAGAAGAAUGUGCCGUGAUUCUUUUACCCACCUGGUGAGCUGUUUCUGUCAAAAAAUUUGAGCCAAUUAGCCACCCCAACUUCUGCUUUACCAGGCAUAUGGGAGAAACACACAGUUCCAGCUGAGUGAUGGAUGAAGAAAUUAGUAGCUAAACUAAGUUACUUGUAAUGCUUGGCAGCGUAUAAGCAAAUAUAUGAUGCAGCUCUACAGUACUUUUGUGGCUGCAAUCACUGAGUGUAGGUGCUGUUUUCUCCCUGUGGGUGGUUAGCAAAGAGUGAGAGGAGAGCUGAGAGGACAGAGGCAUAUAGAGGAUGAGGGGACAAACAAGGACAGAAGGAAUUUUAUGUUAAAGGACAUUGGAGCUCGCUUUGUGUGUUGCCCAUGGGUUGGCACAUUUCAGUGGAGUGCCAUCCCUGCUGUGACACAGAUAAUUCUGUUCUUCAGAAAGGCAUUACUUGGUUGUGUGCUUUUCUUGUCCUGCUCACCUGCUGCAGAAAAUGGAGGCUGUGAAGGCAUCACCAUGGGUAAUUGGAUCCUCCUGCAUUCUGGGUGUUACUCCUUUAUUUGGGAUGUUGCAGGAGAUUUUGCCUCUUCCAGCUUUACUGGAGGGGGAAAAGGACUAAAACUGUAGGUUUCUAUGCUGGAGUUAUUCCUGCUACUUGCUUGAACUACAGGUAAUUAAACAGUUUGUUGAAACAGCA
Molecule: non-coding RNA, 5123 nt
Organism: Taeniopygia guttata (zebra finch)
Lineage: Eukaryota; Metazoa; Chordata; Aves; Passeriformes; Estrildidae
Source: RefSeq, a predicted model, not a curated record